ACGAGAGGCCCAGACGUUAUUCGGAAUUACUGGGCUUAAAGAGUUCGUAGGCGGCAUUACAAGUAGGGUGUGAAAGCCCUCGGCUCAACCGAGGAAUUGCGCUCUAAACUGUCGUGCUAGAGGAACCUAGAGGUGAGCAGAACAGAUGGUGGAGCGGUGAAAUGCGUUGAUAUCAUCUGGAAUACCGGAGGCGAAGGCGGCUCACUGGGGGUUUUCUGACGCUGAGGAACGAAAGCCAGGGUAGCGAACGGGA
RNAcentral lists this ribosomal RNA (253 nucleotides) under uncultured prokaryote. Its description in RNAcentral is "partial 16S ribosomal RNA". It matches the Rfam family "Bacterial small subunit ribosomal RNA", at positions 525 to 777 of the family's 1533-position model. The record is from RNAcentral.